Molecule: ribosomal RNA, 253 nt
Filed under: uncultured bacterium
Lineage: Bacteria
Description: partial 16S ribosomal RNA
Rfam family: Bacterial small subunit ribosomal RNA
Source: RNAcentral
UACGUAGGGUGCGAGCGUUAAUCGGAAUUACUGGGCGUAAAGCGUGCGCAGGCGGUUUUGUAAGCCAGAUGUGAAAUCCCCGGGCUUAACCUGGGAAUGGCAUUUGGGACUGCAAGGCUCGAGUGCGGCAGAGGAGACUGGAAUUCCUGGUGUAGCAGUGAAAUGCGUAGAUAUCAGGAGGAACACCGAUGGCGAAGGCAGGUCUCUGGGCUGACACUGACGCUCAUGCACGAAAGCUAGGGGAGCAAACAGG